UACGGGAGGCAGCAGUGGGGAAUAUUGCACAAUGGGCGCAAGCCUGAUGCAGCCAUGCCGCGUGUAUGAAGAAGGCCUUCGGGUUGUAAAGUACUUUCAGUCGUGAGGAAGGUGUUAAGGUUAAUAACCUUAGCAAUUGACGUUAGCGACAGAAGAAGCACCGGCUAACUCCGUGCCAGCAGCCGCGGUAAUACGGAGGGUGCGAGCGUUAAUCGGAAUUACUGGGCGUAAAGGGCACGCAGGCGGUUAAUUAAGUUGGAUGUGAAAUCCCCGGGCUUAACCUGGGAAUGGCAUUCAAGACUGGUUAGCUAGAGUCUUGUAGAGGGGGUAGAAUUCCAUGUGUAGCGGUGAAAUGCGUAGAGAUGUGGAGGAAUACCGGUGGGCGAAGGCGGCCCCUGGGACAAAGGACUGACGCUCAUGUGCGAAAGCGUGGGGAGGCAAACAGGGAUUAGAUACC
This 457-nucleotide ribosomal RNA is filed under the name uncultured bacterium. RNAcentral describes it as "bacterial SSU rRNA". It matches the Rfam family "Bacterial small subunit ribosomal RNA", at positions 340 to 786 of the family's 1533-position model. The record is from RNAcentral.